UACGGAGGGAGCUAGCGUUAUUCGGAAUUACUGGGCGUAAAGCGCACGUAGGCGGCUUUGUAAGUUAGAGGUGAAAGCCUGGAGCUCAACUCCAGAACUGCCCUUAAGACUGCAUCGCUUGAAUCCAGGAGAGGUGAGUGGAAUUCCGAGUGUAGAGGUGAAAUUCGUAGAUAUUCGCAAGAACACCAGUGGCGAAGGCGGCUCACUGGCCCGGUACUGACGCUGAGGUGCGAAAGCGUGGGGAGCAAACAGG
Molecule: ribosomal RNA, 253 nt
Filed under: uncultured bacterium
Lineage: Bacteria
Description: partial 16S ribosomal RNA
Rfam family: Bacterial small subunit ribosomal RNA
Source: RNAcentral